This is a long non-coding RNA of Xiphophorus couchianus (Monterrey platyfish), 1052 nucleotides long. RefSeq lists it as uncharacterized. The transcript is spliced from 3 exons. NCBI's taxonomy places the organism in Eukaryota, Metazoa, Chordata, Actinopteri, Cyprinodontiformes, Poeciliidae. The record is from RefSeq and is a predicted model, not a curated record.
AUCUAAAGAAGAACAACGACUCAUAUUUAAGGGCAUCAGGCGGUUUGCUAUUUAGUUUGGAUAUAAAUCAGUGAUUAAACUGUCUGAAGCCCUAACCUGUUUUGGGCCAGCCAGAGUCAAAGUGGCGGCGGCGGCGUUCCACAGGCGACAGACUCUGCUGACCCUGCACCGCAAAAACAACAGCGAGUCGGACCCCAAACUCUGAAUCCACUCAACCACAGACUGAAGGCAGCUCCUCAUGUGAAAUGCUGUUAAUACCUGCAUAGGAAAGGCACCGCGCCGUCCUGAACAACCAACAUCUGGAAGAUGUUGACCAGCACCUCCUCAGGUAGGUCCUGACAGAAAGCCACUUAUGUCAACAAACAGAAAACUGAGGUGUUGCCUUCGGGUUCCCUAGACCUCACUCUGGAUAAACCAGUCCCACCAGCAGCUUCCACUUCCAAACCCAGUCUAACCAGCUCUUAUUUAGGCAUUUCCAUGUCAACUCUGUUGUUUUAAUAUUUCCAUAAAUAUCCAUCUGUAACCUGGUUGUAUUUCUCUUUUGUUAUAAUUACACAAAAUGUCUUGUUUUGAUUAUUCAUGCUGUUCCUUACCUGGGUGAAACACCUGUAAAAACUCUGUCAUUGUUUUAUCCGUGUAACUUUAAGAUUUUAAGCCCCGCCUUUUUAUUUCUUCUUCGGUGGUAUUGUCUGUAAAUUGUUUGCGCCCUUAGCCCCGCCCCUUUUGUCAUGUUGUCCUGCCAGAGAGGUGUGUGCUGUAUAUUUUUCAUGUAAAUACAUCCGGUUUAUGUAUAGAUCUAGAAGUUAAUUUUUGUUAUCACCAUUGUAAUAUAUGAAUCCAUUCUGUGAUAUAAACAUUUAAGUGAACCUACAAUUGCAAAAUAGCAGGAAUUAACUUUAGUUUUGUUAUGUACUUUUGUUUUGUGUAAGGCUUGGAGCGGGCGGUUGUUUUCUGUUGGUUUUUCUCGUCAGAACAAAUUCAGAAACCAUCCAUUUAAAGACAAACCGCGUCAUGGCCUGACCAUUCAAUAAAACCAGCACAACGCAGAAAGU